RNAcentral lists this ribosomal RNA (253 nucleotides) under uncultured bacterium. RNAcentral's name for it is "partial 16S ribosomal RNA". It matches the Rfam family "Bacterial small subunit ribosomal RNA", at positions 524 to 776 of the family's 1533-position model. The record is from RNAcentral.
UACGGAGGGUGCGAGCGUUGUCCGGAAUCACUGGGCGUAAAGGGCGCGUAGGUGGCGCGGGAAGUCAACGGUGAAAGUUCGGGGCUCAACCCUGAAUCGGCCGUCGAUACUCCCGGGCUCGAGCACUGUAGAGGCAGAUGGAAUUCCGGGUGUAGCGGUGGAAUGCGUAGAGAUCGGGAAGAACAUCAGUGGCGAAGGCGGCCUGCUGGGCUGUUGCUGACGCUGAUGCACGAAAGCUGGGGGAGCAAACAGG